AGUGGUGUGCUGGAAUGGUAGACAGAACUCCCUCAAGAGGAGUUGGGUAACGUCCCGUACGGGUUCGAGUCCCGUCCUCACUA
RNAcentral lists this transfer RNA (83 nucleotides) under Mrakia frigida. RNAcentral's name for it is "tRNA-Leu (CAA) (tRNA-Leu-CAA-2-1)". It matches the Rfam family "tRNA". From Rfam's summary of the family: Transfer RNA (tRNA) molecules are approximately 80 nucleotides in length. Their secondary structure includes four short double-helical elements and three loops (D, anti-codon, and T loops). Further hydrogen bonds mediate the characteristic L-shaped molecular structure. tRNAs have two regions of fundamental functional importance: the anti-codon, which is responsible for specific mRNA codon recognition, and the 3' end, to which the tRNAs corresponding amino acid is attached (by aminoacyl-tRNA synthetases). tRNAs cope with the degeneracy of the genetic code in two manners: having more than one tRNA (with a specific anti-codon) for a particular amino acid; and 'wobble' base-pairing, i.e. permitting non-standard base-pairing at the 3rd anti-codon position. Lineage: Eukaryota; Fungi; Basidiomycota; Tremellomycetes; Cystofilobasidiales; Mrakiaceae. The record is from RNAcentral.